CAACAAUUUUCUAUAGUUAACAAUUUCCUGGCUUGAAUGUGAAAAGUGCAGAAAGCGUGGGACGUAUUUCCCAUCUGAAUAUUUCAGCUGGUUGUGUUAAAAAUGGUACAUUAUCACGAAAAGUGGCGUUAUAGUACUAAAGAAAAGGUAUGAACGAUAAUUGGUAAAGCUUAUCAUAGUUUUAUUGUAACCUGAAUCUCGCGAAUGACAUGGGACAACCAACGUCCUUUUUAUAGAUAUAGAAGGCACAAAUAAUGAUGCCACUAUGUGGUAAAUACAUAGACAAGAAAUUAUUGCCAGAUUAGUUAAUCAAAUCAUACUGUUGCAAUGACAACUGUAUUUAAAAUCAUGGAACUUGCUGUACAGACAAAAUAUAGUAUAAAUUUGUCUUAAUAACAUUCAAACAUCGUAAUCCAUAUACAAACAUAGGAAUUAUAUUCACUGGAAUUGUUGAAAACAGAUAUCGAUAAAAUCAAUAGCAUCUCAAGUAAUAGUCAACUAAUUGACCAAAUAUAGAAUGCUAUACAUAUAAUAUACAGCAUAGAGCUUGCAUUUUAUGGAUCCUUGUGUUCCAUAUUCUGAAAUACUGAUUAUAUAAAAAAUUAGUGUUUCUUAUGUCCUCUGUGAUUUAUAGCAGUGGAUGUAGGAAUUAUAUUUAAUCCAACUAACAAAGUUGAUAAAGUCAUAGACGAUGCGUAUUUGUCAUCAGUCAUCAGUGCAAUCCCACUGAGGAUGGAAAGAAUGGCAAAUAGAGAAAAGAGAAAAGUAUGUACAUACAUACUUAUUACUAAUACACUUAUUCUUUCCUUAUACAAAUUAUAUGGUUGUUGUAUAUACUAUGUACAAUCAUAACUAAAGUUUAUUGUUAAUGUUAAAGAUGGCUCUUGUAUAUGCUAUGCCAGAUUGUAAAAGUAUUUACAAAUGCAACGGUAGUAUUGCCUUUUUAAAACAUCAAAAAAUUCAAACUUGGAAAUAUAUGGGAAAAAGCUAUUCCUGAUAUAAGAGAACUAAAGACAAGACACUUAAUAUAUGAGAAACAUUUUAAAGAGGAAUUUAUAAAAAAAA
Bombus impatiens (common eastern bumble bee) is the source of this 1065-nucleotide long non-coding RNA. RefSeq lists it as uncharacterized. Lineage: Eukaryota; Metazoa; Arthropoda; Insecta; Hymenoptera; Apidae. The record is from RefSeq and is a predicted model, not a curated record. The transcript is spliced from 3 exons.